RNAcentral lists this ribosomal RNA (251 nucleotides) under uncultured bacterium. Its description in RNAcentral is "partial 16S ribosomal RNA". It matches the Rfam family "Bacterial small subunit ribosomal RNA", at positions 525 to 775 of the family's 1533-position model. The record is from RNAcentral.
ACGGAAGGUCCAGGCGUUAUCCGGAUUUAUUGGGUUUAAAGGGAGCGUAGGCCGGAGAUUAAGCGUGUUGUGAAAUGUAGACGCUCAACGUCUGCACUGCAGCGCGAACUGGUUUCCUUGAGUACGCACAAAGUGGGCGGAAUUCGUGGUGUAGCGGUGAAAUGCUUAGAUAUCACGAAGAACUCCGAUUGCGAAGGCAGCUCACUGGAGCGCAACUGACGCUGAAGCUCGAAAGUGCGGGUAUCGAACAG